GGGUCUGUGGGGUAGCUUGGUAUCCUUCUAGCUUGGGGUGCUAGUGACUCCGGUUCAAAUCCGGACAGACCCACCA
RNAcentral lists this transfer RNA (76 nucleotides) under Methanomassiliicoccales archaeon PtaU1.Bin124. RNAcentral describes it as "tRNA-Pro". It matches the Rfam family "tRNA". From Rfam's summary of the family: Transfer RNA (tRNA) molecules are approximately 80 nucleotides in length. Their secondary structure includes four short double-helical elements and three loops (D, anti-codon, and T loops). Lineage: Archaea; Methanobacteriati; Thermoplasmatota; Thermoplasmata; Methanomassiliicoccales. RNAcentral also lists the same sequence under 1 other name. The record is from RNAcentral.